AUUUUACUAAAAAUGUUGCUAAAGCAACUUUCACAUUGACUCAGUAUUUACAUUUUUGUUCAGGUUUCAUUUCUUUUACAUUUAAAAUUAAUUUCAAAUUGGAUCAAGAUACUCACAAGAAAACCUCAAAAAUGCAUUUAAUUUGAAUGUUUCCUACUCGAGAAACCUGAGCGGCUGAGAGAGCACAUUUUUAAUCAAGUUUUGCCUGGUCAAAGCAACAACAGACAAGUUCCACCGUGAUGCUGUGCAGAUUUCUAACUCUUUAAGGAACAACCCCUUUGGGAUGACCAUCGAAGGAGGAGUUUUCUCACUGGAUUCCCAUAAAUGUCCACGUUGAAAGUUAUGACAAGAAAAGGGCCUGUAAUCGGGGAAAGUUCUCAAAGGGAAACUGAUUCGCUGAGGUGCUCGAUGAAACCCUUUUGUUUUUCCCACAUGACACAUAAAUACUCGUAACUGCCACUGGUCAGCCGGCAGCUUCUGUUCCACCUCUGAGCUUCAGCUGUUCUGUUAAUUGAAUCAUUAGGGAUGAGCAUGGGGAACACGGACUGAAGGUUGAGACAAUGCCACCAUAAUCAUUAUGAGUGAUUGCAGAGUGUCAGAGGCAGAGGCAGAGGCAGACAAAAAUAAAAACAAAAGGGGCCAAGGAAGCCUUUUAGAUCAAUUUAAAUAAGUCACAGAGCACAGCUGGCCAGCAGAGACAGACGCAACUCAUGUAACUCCACAGUUGAUAGACUCUCUCCGACAAGACUCAUCCUCAUCCCUUUGUAAUCCCCGACAGUUGGGUGUGCAGCCGUGGCAAGGGUUUGUCUAAAACGGGAACCACUUGAGAGGCGAGUGUGCAGAGUGGCGGGGAGGAUGUGACUUGAGGAUUUUCCAAACUGAUACACACUCGAGUGCCCCUAGCCCCCUUCGCACGGGUCAAUAACUUUCCUUAGCCGAGUGUCAUUUCCAUGAUAUUAAUUCUGCGAGUGCACAAGGUCGUGGGCUGAAAACAGAAUGGAAAUGGAAGACGUUUAAGCUAGAAACAGAAACGAGCUGUAAGCUAAAUGGAAGAUCUAUUCGAUUUCCCUAUUCUAAACUUUCCAUUCACAACUUUCCUCACCUUCAGAAUGAUGAGCCUCAACAGGAACUUGCUUCAUUUCAUAUUGUGUCUCAAGGGAGCAGCUGCUGCUGCUCGACUUAGUUUGAGUUGGAGAGUCUCACAAUUGCUGGUACGUCGCCCAGGUUGCAGUCGUGUCGGCUUACUUGGCUGCGGCGGGAUAUCAUGUCAACGCUUUGACUGGCAGUUAACUUGCCCUUGUCGCCUUGUUUUAUCCCGUCUGCAACAUUUAAAAGGCUUAAAACUUUAAUUAAAAGGAGUGAACCCCGAGACUUGGCACAGCUGUGCCUGCUCUCCUGUUCCUGCUGUUAUGCAUUUGAUCUAUGCGCUGACAGGACACAGGAUACAGGACGAAGGUUCCCACUGUGUUCUGCGAAGUUGCUGCGGAGUGCAUUCCGUAAUCGGAUACUUUUAUUGCUGAAAGGAUAAACCACAAAAUGCUUUGUAUGGCCAUCACAUAAUACAUUUU
Molecule: long non-coding RNA, 1568 nt
Filed under: Drosophila guanche
Lineage: Eukaryota; Metazoa; Arthropoda; Insecta; Diptera; Drosophilidae
Source: RNAcentral